RNA transcript from Fragaria vesca subsp. vesca, 4669 nucleotides. It is a transcript of the gene named pleiotropic drug resistance protein 1-like, with no coding region annotated. The record is from RefSeq and is a predicted model, not a curated record. The transcript has 25 exons. NCBI's taxonomy places the organism in Eukaryota, Viridiplantae, Streptophyta, Magnoliopsida, Rosales, Rosaceae.
AUGUCUCCAUUUUUGAUAUGUGGAGAAGUUAAAGGAAUUGAAUCCAUGGAAAUAUUCUCCAAGUCUUCUCGUGAAGAAGAAGAUGAAGAAGCUCUCAAAUGGGCUGCUAUUGAGAGAUUGCCAACUUACUUACGCAUAAGGAGAGGUAUACUCGCCAACCAAGACCAGGGCAUAGCCAGAGAAAUUGAUGUCAAGGAUUUAGGACUACUAGAAAGGAGGAAUUUGCUGGAGAGGCUGGUGAAGAUUGCAGAUGAAGAUAAUGAGAAGUUCUUGUUCAAGCUCAAGGAUCGCAUGGAUAGAGUUGGACUUGAUUUUCCAACAACUGAGGUGCGGUUUGAGCAUUUAAGUGUCGAAGCAGAAGCUUAUGUAGGAAGUAGGGCAUUACCUACAAUACUCAACUUCUCCAUUAACAUCUUAGAGGGGUUCUUGAAUUACCUUCAUGUUCUUCCGAGUAGAAAGAAACGAUUGCCCAUCCUCCAUGGUGUUAGUGGAAUUAUCAAGCCAAGAAGAAUGACAUUGCUUUUAGGCCCUCCAAGCUCUGGAAAGACUACAUUCCUUCUGGCUUUGGCUGGAAAACUCGGUAAAGAUCUGAAAAUUUCGGGGAGAGUUGCUUACAAUGGAGAGGGGAUGGAAGAGUUUGUACCAGAGUAUUAGUCAACAUGAUCUUCACAUACCGGAGAUGACGGUGAGAGAAACUCUGGCUUUUUCAGCAAGAUGUCAAGGAGUUGGACCACGUUAUGAAAUGUUGGUAGAAUUAUCAAGGAGAGAAAAGACUGCAAAUAUAAUGCCGGAUCCUGAUCUUGAUGUUUACAUGAAGGCAGCUGCACUUGAAGGACAUGAAACCAAUGUAAUUACAGAUUAUAUACUGAAGGUUUUGGGGCUUGAAGUUUGUGCCGACACUAUAGUAGGGGAUCAAAUGAGACGAGGUAUCUCCGGGGGUCAAAGAAAGCGACUCACCACAGGGGAGAUGCUGGUUGGGCCAGCAAGAGCACUUUUCAUGGAUGAGAUAUCAACCGGCUUGGACAGUUCAACAACAUUUCAGAUAGUGAAAUCACUUAGACAAUCCAUCCACAUUCUCAAUGAAACUGCUGUCAUCUCUCUCCUGCAGCCAGCGCCAGAAACUUAUGAUCUCUUUGAUGAUAUAAUUUUACUCUCAGAUGGGCACAUUGUGUAUCAAGGUCCCCGGUGCAAUGUGCUUGAGUUCUUUGAGUACAUGGGAUUUAAAUGUCCAGAGAGAAAAGGAGUUGCGGAUUUCCUACAAGAAGUAACCUCGAGGAAAGAUCAAGAACAAUACUGGGCUCAUAAUGACAAGCCUUAUAGCUUUCUAACUUCCAAGGACUUUGCUGAAGCCUUGCAGUCAUUUUACAUUGGUCGAGAACUUGGUGAUGAGCUUUCUAUUCCGUUUGAUAAGUCUAAAGGCCACCCUGCAGCUUUAACAACUAAGAAGUAUGGUGUCAGCAAGAAGGAAUUAUUCAAAGCUUGUAUGUCUAGGCAAAUUUUGCUUAUGAAGAGGAAUUCAUUUAUCCAUAUUUUCAAAAUUUCACAGAUGAUUCUAAUGUCUUGUGUUACAAUAACAUUGUUCCUACGAACUGAGAUGCACCGGGAUUCUGUUGAAGAUGGUGUCAUAUACAUGGGAGCAUUGUUUUACACAAUGAUGAUAAUUAUGUUCAAUGGGUUCUCAGAGCUUGCCAUGACUGUCAUGAAGCUUCCUGUGUUUUUCAAGCAAAGGGACCUUCUCUUCUAUCCUGCUUGGGCAUACUCUUUGCCCACAUGGCUGAUAAGGAUCCCUAUGACUUUUGUGGAAGUUUCUAUUUGGGUGACCAUUACGUACUACACUAUAGGUUUUGAUCCAAACAUUGAAAGGUUCUUCAAACAGUUCCUUUCACUGCUGCUUAUUAGCCAAAUGGCAACUGGCCUGUUCCGACUGAUAGGCGCAUUAGGAAGAAACAUGAUUGUUGCGAACACAUUUGGAUCUGUUGCUUUGCUUGUGCUGUUUGUUCUUGGUGGAUUCAUCUUAUCACGAGAGGAUAUGAAAAGCUGGUUGGUGUGGGGAUAUUAUCUGUCUCCAAUGUCGUAUGGACUGAAUGCCCUAGCUGUCAAUGAAUUUCUUGGAAAAAGUUGGAGACAUUCUCCUACCAACUCAACUGAACUUUUAGGAGUAAUAGUCUUGAAAUCACGAGGGGUUUUCCCAGAAGCACGAUGGUACUGGAUUGGAGUAGUAGCUUUAUUUGGAUUUAUUCUUCUAUUCAACCUCCUUUUCAUUCUGGCACUUCAUUAUCUUGAACCUCUUGAUAAGCCUCAGGCAGUACUCUCCAAAGAGGCCUUGGCAAAGAAACAAGCCACCGAAACUGGAGAAGCCAUUGAAUUAGUUUCAACACAAAAGAUUGAAUCAAGUAUAUGUAAUGGCUAUGAUGUAUCAAAUAUCAAUGCAGGUGCAGCUAAUGAAAGACUAGACAAUGUGUCAGUCAAUCUGACCAGCCAGCGAGGAAUGGUUCUUCCUUUUGAACCCCUCUCAAUUACAUUUGACGAAAUCAGAUAUGCAGUUGACAUGCCAGUGGAAAUGAAAGGUCAAGGUGUAACACAGGAUCGGUUAGAACUUCUGAAGGGUGUAAGUGGUGCUUUUAGGCCUGGAGUCCUAACAGCUCUAAUGGGGGUCAGUGGCGCUGGAAAGACUACUCUAAUGGAUGUCUUGGCAGGAAGGAAAACUGGUGGAUAUAUUGAAGGAAACAUUACCAUUUCUGGCUAUCCGAAAAAGCAAGAAACAUUUGCUCGUAUAUCCGGAUAUUGUGAGCAAACAGAUAUACACUCUCCACAUGUUACAGUUUAUGAGUCUUUGGUUUAUUCUGCUUGGCUCCGGUUGCCCCCUGGGGAUGAUUCCCCCACCAGAAAGAUGUUUAUUAAGGAAGUCAUGGAUCUUGUGGAACUGACCCCACUAAGGGAUGCACUUGUUGGAUUGCCAGGAGUGAAUGGUCUUUCAACUGAGCAGCGCAAAAGGCUAACAAUUGCAGUAGAGCUUGUUGCCAAUCCAUCCAUAAUAUUCAUGGAUGAGCCAACCUCUGGUCUUGAUGCCAGGGCAGCAGCAAUUGUAAUGAGAACUGUGAGGAAUACAGUGAACACCGGGAGAACUGUAGUCUGCACCAUCCACCAGCCAAGCAUUGAUAUAUUUGAUGCUUUUGAUGAGAUGCUACUUUUAAAAUGGGGAGGGGAAGAAAUAUAUGUUGGUCCUUUAGGCUACCAGUCUUCCCAGUUGAUCGAAUACUUUGAGGGGAUUAGUGGAGUUCCUAAAAUGAAGGAUGGUUACAACCCUGCUACUUGGAUGUUAGAGGUCACUUCUGCAGCACAAGAAGCAAAUCUUGGGGUCAAUUUCACCGACAUAUACAAGAACUCAGAAAUGUACAGGAGAAACAAGGAAUUGAUCAAGGAACUAAGUACUCCACCAGAAAAUUCAGUAGACUUACACUUCACAACACAGUAUUCUCAAUCCUUCUUUACCCAGUGCAAUACUUGCCUAUGGAAACAGCACCUGUCUUACUGGCGAAAUCCCCCAUACAGUGCAGCGAGACUUAUUUACACAACAAUGAUGGCUAUAGUAUUUGGUAUAUUAUUCUUGGGUCUUGGCUCCAAAAGGCAAAAGCAACAAGAUCUUUUCAAUGUAUUAGGCUCUAUGUAUUCUGCCAUUCUCUUCAUUGGGAUACAAAAUGCCUCAUCGGUGCAGCCGGUUAUAGCUAUUGAGAGGAUAGUCUUUUACAGAGAAAGGGCAGCUGGAAUGUACUCUGCUUUUCCAUAUGCAUUUGGACAGGUUGUCAUUGAGAUCCCAUACACUUUGAUCCAAACCAUUUUAUACGUGGUUAUUGUAUACACGAUGAUCGGAUAUGAUUGGACGGUCAGCAAGUUCUUCUGGUAUUUUUUCUUCAUGUUUUUCAGCUUCUUAUACUACACCUUAUAUGGUAUGAUGAUUGUGGCAAUUACUCCCAACACUAUGGUCGCUGCUGUGCUUUCCUCAUCAUUCUACCCGUUAUGGAACGUCUUUUCUGGGUUUAUCAUUCCGAAAACAAGAAUUCCAAUAUGGUGGAGAUGGUUCUAUUGGUUGUGCCCGAUUUCGUGGACCUUAUACGGAUUGAUUGUUUCACAGUUUGGAGACAUUAAGGACACACUUGAAUCUGGCCAAACUGUGGAGAAGUUUAUUAGGGAUUAUUUUGGGUAUAGAAAAGACUUUUUAGGUGUUGUUGCAAUUGUCCAUGUCGGGGUUACAUUGCUCUUUGGUUUCAUCUUUGCCUUUUCAAUCAAAGCCUUUAAUUUCCAAAGGAGAUGAUGAUCGAGGACAUUGAGAAUGCUAUAUAUACCUCUUAUGAACACAGAGCAAAUUGCCUUGUGGUGUUGCAAGUUUUGAUCCUAGUUUGAUCAUAGUGAGGCACAUACAGCAAAUAUGAAUGUACACAAGUUAAAAUCCAGUCUAGCUGGAUGAGGCAACAUUAGCUCUAGCUUCUCAAGUAGGGACUAUCAUUGUGUCCCCAACAAAAACCGCAAGAUUGGUAGGCCAAAAGGUAGCAAGAAUCGUCCGAAGGCGAUUGGUAUAUGGCUUCAGAGCCAGUCACAUGAAGAGUAGCAGCUCCAACAAAAGGAUUGCCAACCGGCUAUAGUAUUUGGUAUAUUAUUCUUGGGUCUUGGC